This 379-nucleotide ribosomal RNA is filed under the name uncultured Phormidium sp. Its description in RNAcentral is "bacterial SSU rRNA". It matches the Rfam family "Bacterial small subunit ribosomal RNA", at positions 376 to 770 of the family's 1533-position model. The record is from RNAcentral. Lineage: Bacteria; Bacillati; Cyanobacteriota; Cyanophyceae; Oscillatoriales; Oscillatoriaceae.
CGAAAGCCUGACGGAGCAAGACCGCGUGGGGGAUGAAGGCUCUUGGGUUGUAAACCCCUUUUCUCAGGGAAGAAGUUCUGACGGUACCUGAGGAAUCAGCAUCGGCUAACUCCGUGCCAGCAGCCGCGGUAAGACGGAGGAUGCAAGCGUUAUCCGGAAUUAUUGGGCGUAAAGCGUUCGUAGGUGGCUGUUCAAGUCUGCCGUUAAAGACCGGGGCUUAACUCCGGAAAAACUGUGGAAACUGAACAGCUAGAGUAGGGUAGGGGUAAGGGGAAUUCCCGGUGUAGAGGUGAAAUGCGUAGAUAUCGGGAAGAACACCGGUGGCGAAGGCGCCUUACUGGACCCUAACUGACACUGAGGGACGAAAGCUAGGGGAGCG